AUUGAACGCUGGCGGCAGGCCUAACACAUGCAAGUCGAACGAGUGGCGGACGGGUGAGUAAUGUCUGGGAAACUGCCUGAUGGAGGGGGAUAACUACUGGAAACGGUAGCUAAUACCGCAUACCAUCAGAUGUGCCCAGAUGGGAUUAGCUAGUUGGUGGGGUAACGGCUCACCAAGGCGACGAUCCCUAGCUGGUCUGAGAGGAUGACCAACCACACUGCGACUGGGAAGCGGGCCAUGCUCCUUCGGGAGGCAGCGGUGGGGAAUAAUGGACAACGGGCACAAGCCUGAUGCAGCCAUGCCGCGGGUAUGAAGAAGGCCUUCGGGUUGUAAAGUACCUUCAGCGGGGAGGCGUUACCCGCAGAAGAAGCACCGGCUGACUCCGUGCCAGCAUGCGCGGUAAUUC
RNAcentral lists this ribosomal RNA (406 nucleotides) under uncultured bacterium. RNAcentral describes it as "partial 16S ribosomal RNA". It matches the Rfam family "Bacterial small subunit ribosomal RNA", at positions 30 to 526 of the family's 1533-position model. The record is from RNAcentral.